Long non-coding RNA from Paramisgurnus dabryanus, 1005 nucleotides. RefSeq lists it as uncharacterized. The record is from RefSeq and is a predicted model, not a curated record. NCBI's taxonomy places the organism in Eukaryota, Metazoa, Chordata, Actinopteri, Cypriniformes, Cobitidae.
ACUACUACAUAUGUAAAAAGAGAGGUGUAAAUUAUUUUGUGGUUUAAAGGAUGCUGCAUGUAAAUUGUUACCCUUUAAAUUUUGGAUGUCAAAUAUAUUUAGAAGUUUGAUUGUAGGUACUUCAGAAGCCUACCUCGUUCACCUCUUGGUUACAUUCCACCGAGUGUUUACUAAUUAUUGUCCUUUUUAUAAAUUUUCUUCUUAAAAAUCUUAUUAUGGUAAGGAUAAUGUAUUUGUUCCCUUCAGGUGUCUGCCACUGCAGUUGAUGUUGAGACAACUCUCAGUCUUCCUGCAAGUCCUCGCCUGAUACCUGUUUUAAGGGCAUCACACCAACAUUUGCAAUUGGACUUGCUGCUAUGUUUGCAACCUACUACAUUUUCAGCCUUCAGUAUCAAGAUGAGACAGCCUGCCCUGUGGAAUUCAAAAUUAAUGUGUUUGCGCUUCAUUGAUAUAAAUCCAGAGAGAGGGACAAAUGCCAAAAUCAUCAAGCAAGGUUGUCUCUAAGAAGAAAGGUGUGAUGGUCCAGAAGUCGUCUUCUGCAGUCAAAUACACAUGUGGUCAUGCUACUGAAGAAUCUCCUUGACUUUUUAAUGGAACUUCAUAUAGAUCUUGGCAGCACUGGAAUAAUGCUGCAGAGAGGAACAGCGGCUAUCAAAGUGAUGAUCGUCUCUUCAUCCACAAGAACUAAGAUGUAAAAACACAAACCUACCUCACAGGACAAUUUUAAGAGGUAACCUGCAAGUCUAGCUUGCAGUGGCACAGGUGCCUACCCUACGGUUUCAUCCUAAAUGUUUUUAUGCAUGUUAUUGAUACAUCCUGACAAAAUGUUCUACUGUACUAUAAUAGUUUCAAAAUGGCCUUAGGUAUGUUUUCAAACUUAUGUCUUAAAUAAAAAAGUAAACUAUAGGUUAUGCCCUUCACAUUUGGUAAGGAUUAGGGGCAGUCUCUGACGAGCAAUUUAAGAAUGUUAAGUUUAUUGCCAUAGUCUAAAGCAGGAGUGGGGAA